GAACAUAGGACUAAUUGGGCUUGUUGAAAGAAUUUUUAACAGAUAAACAUUAAUUUUUAUUAAGCACAGACCGAAUUGAAAAAGGCUAAACUUACAUGUUAAAAUAAUUUGGCAAUCUAACUGCAGAUUCAAAAUUUCUGAAAAUGUAAAUAAAUUAAAAUGUAGGCAGUGUUUUACCAUCUGUAAUGAAUUAGCAUUCCAUUUUUACCAGCUGCUGCUGGGGUUUUUGAAGCUGACUCAGGAUCUGAGCACCCUGGUGGGUUUCUGCUGAUAAAUAUAAGAACCUGUAGUUUAAAACUGGCAGAGCUGGACUGGGGAUUAGAAAAGUCACUGCAACUUUAAGCAGCUAUUUGCUUUAGUGCCUUUAAUUAAUGAAAAACAACUAGUUAAAAGGUUGGCUAAUUCCUUUAUGAUAUACACACACGUACGAAAAUUUACGGAUGGCUUGAAUGUGUUGGGUUUUUGUUUUGUUUUUGGCAAGGGACCAUCGGCUCUGAA
RNAcentral lists this long non-coding RNA (498 nucleotides) under Pan troglodytes (chimpanzee). Its description in RNAcentral is "long non-coding RNA NONPTRT014535". The record is from RNAcentral. Lineage: Eukaryota; Metazoa; Chordata; Mammalia; Primates; Hominidae.